Molecule: unclassified non-coding RNA, 625 nt
Filed under: Hevea brasiliensis (rubber tree)
Lineage: Eukaryota; Viridiplantae; Streptophyta; Magnoliopsida; Malpighiales; Euphorbiaceae
Source: RNAcentral
CUCCCUUUAAAUUUUCUCUCUUUCUUUAGCUCAAGAUAUUGGUGAGGCGCAGCAUUCUUGAAGCUAUUAACUUUACUGCCCUCGAAAACCAAAAGAACCCCAACCCCUCUACCAUUAAUCUUCAAGCAACAGUUUCCCAGUUUGAAUUUGAAAUGGUAGGAAUUCAAUUACCUUCUCACCAUCACGAUGCUCUUAAUUUGGAAGAGCUGGAAAAGUGCCAAGUGCCCGUAGCUCGUGCAGUUGAAGAAGCAGAGAAGGGGCUGGAUGAUCCUGAGGUGCCCAUAUCCCAUUUUAAAGUCAACAGGGUUCUAAAGCACCGUAAUUCUUCAAGGACCAUUGUUGAUAUCUAUGACCUGUAUCCAAAGCUUGCAAAUGGUGGAAAAAUCAAAUCUAAAAAGAGUAGUUCGGGAAGUUUCUUCUUCGCCAGUGACAGUGAGAUAAGGCGUAUGAAUUCUCUUCACUGUGCAUCUCCGCCUGACGGACCUUGGAUAUGUAGUUUUAUGUAAAAGUCUCUUCAAUUUUUUUUUUCCUUAAUAUCAAAACUGAGGUAAUCGAAAAAAAUAGAUUAUGCUCAACAUUUUGUACUGACGUCAAAUUUAUCAAUAUAAAAAAAAAGAACUUUUUA